CCUACGGGUGGCAGCAGUCGAGAAUCAUUCACAAUGGGGGAAACCCUGAUGCAGCGACGCCGCGUGGAGGAAGGAAGGCCUUCGGAUUGUAAACUCCUGUCAUGUGGGAGCAAAUUAAAAAGAGAGUACCGCAAGAGAGAGAGACGGCUAACUCGGUGCCAGCAGCCGCGGUAAUACAGAGGUCUCAAGCGUUGUUCGGAAUCACUGGGCGUAAAGUGUGCGUAGGCGGUUUCGUAAGUCGGGUGUGAAAGGCGCGGGCUCAACCCGAGGACGGCACAUGAUACUGGGAGCCUAGAGUAAUGUAGGGGGAACCGGAAUUCUAGGUGUAGCAGUGAAAUGCGUAGAUAUCGCGAGGAACACUGGUGGCGAAGGCGGGUUCCUGGACAUUAACUGACGCUGAGGCACGAAGGCCUGGGGAGCGAAAAGGAUUAGAUACCCCAGUAGUC
Molecule: ribosomal RNA, 446 nt
Filed under: uncultured bacterium
Lineage: Bacteria
Description: partial 16S ribosomal RNA
Rfam family: Bacterial small subunit ribosomal RNA
Source: RNAcentral